CGGAGGAGCAUGUGGUUUAAUUCGAUGAUACGCGAGGAACCUUACCUCGGGCGUCGAAACGUAAGAUGACUGUAGGUGAAAGCUUACAUCUCUUCGGAGCAUUUUACGAGGUGCUGCAUGGUUGUCGUCAGCUCGUGCCGUGAGGUGUCGGGUUAAGUCCCAUAACGAGCGCAACCCCUACCUUUAGUUGCCAUCAGGUUAAGCUGGGGACUCUAAAGGAACUGCCUACGCAAGUAGUGAGGAAGGCGGGGAUGACGUCAAAUCAGCACGGCCCUUACGUCCAGGGCUACACACGUGCUACAAUGGCCGAUACAGAGGGCAGCUACCUGGUGACAGGAUGCAAAUCUCCAAAGUCGGUCUCAGUUCGGAUCGGAGUCUGCAACCCGACUCCGUGAAGUUGGAUUCGCUAGUAAUCGCGCAUCAGCCAUGGCGCGGUGAAUACGUUCCCGGGCCUU
This 455-nucleotide ribosomal RNA is filed under the name uncultured Sphingobacteriales bacterium. RNAcentral's name for it is "bacterial SSU rRNA". It matches the Rfam family "Bacterial small subunit ribosomal RNA", at positions 930 to 1382 of the family's 1533-position model. The record is from RNAcentral. Lineage: Bacteria; Pseudomonadati; Bacteroidota; Sphingobacteriia; Sphingobacteriales.